GGAUCCCAGAAGAUGGAUUGUUUUUCCCAUCACAUUGGAUUAGUGUACUUGUAAGAAAAUUGAGGAAUGCAACUAUAUAAUGUUAUGGGGAGUAGUUCAAGGGCCUUUGUUUCGCCAUUGUCCUCCUAUCAGUCUUUUUGGGCCCUUGGCUGGGAUUGGGUUGGGCAGUGCCACUUUGCUGGUGAUCCUUCUGGAGUUUUCUUUUGGGUUGUUUGAGCCUGGGAUCAUUCUUUUUAAUGAAAGAAUUGGAUUGGCGAGGUUACUGGGUGUGUGCAUGAAGGA
This 282-nucleotide unclassified non-coding RNA is filed under the name Hevea brasiliensis (rubber tree). Lineage: Eukaryota; Viridiplantae; Streptophyta; Magnoliopsida; Malpighiales; Euphorbiaceae. The record is from RNAcentral.